AGCAGCAGCCGCGGGAAUACGAAGGGGGCUAGCGUUGCUCGGAAUGACUGGGCGUAAAGGGCGCGUAGGCGGCUUGCACAGUCAGAUGUGAAAUUCCUGGGCUUAACCUGGGGGCUGCAUUUGAUACGUGUGGGCUAGAGUGUGAAAGAGGGUCGUGGAAUUCCCAGUGUAGAGGUGAAAUUCGUAGAUAUUGGGAAGAACACCGGUGGCGAAGGCGGCAACCUGGCCCUUGACUGACGCUGAGGCGCGAAAGCGUGGGGAGCAAACAGGAUUAGAUACCCCAGUAGUCCCUGUCUCUUAUAA
This 303-nucleotide ribosomal RNA is filed under the name uncultured bacterium. RNAcentral's name for it is "partial 16S ribosomal RNA". It matches the Rfam family "Bacterial small subunit ribosomal RNA", at positions 507 to 809 of the family's 1533-position model. The record is from RNAcentral.